This 158-nucleotide ribosomal RNA is filed under the name uncultured Nocardioides sp. RNAcentral describes it as "partial 16S ribosomal RNA". It matches the Rfam family "Bacterial small subunit ribosomal RNA", at positions 355 to 525 of the family's 1533-position model. Lineage: Bacteria; Bacillati; Actinomycetota; Actinomycetes; Propionibacteriales; Nocardioidaceae. The record is from RNAcentral.
UGGGGAAUAUUGGACAAUGGGCGGAAGCCUGAUCCAGCAACGCCGCGUGAGGGAUGACGGCCUUCGGGUUGUAAACCUCUUUCAGCACAGACGAAGCGCAAGUGACGGUAUGUGCAGAAGAAGGACCGGCCAACUACGUGCCAGCAGCCGCGGUAAUA